RNAcentral lists this long non-coding RNA (6903 nucleotides) under Heterocephalus glaber (naked mole-rat). RNAcentral's name for it is "lncRNA (ENSHGLG00000034073.1)". The record is from RNAcentral. Lineage: Eukaryota; Metazoa; Chordata; Mammalia; Rodentia; Bathyergidae.
GGCCGCCCGCCGGAGCCUUCCCGGCCCGGGCGCCGCUCCGCGACGGAGCCGCUGCCUCAGCCGCACGCUCCUCCUCUUCCUCCUCCUCCUCAGGGCUGCCGUCAGGUCGACCCGCUCCACUCACGACAGGGUCUCCCUAUGUAGUUCAGGCUGGCGAUCCUCCUGUCUCAGCCUCCUGAAUGGUGAGAAUACAGCCAUGUGCCACCAUACCCAGCUAAAAUACAAGAUUUUAAGUCAAAUAUUAGUCAUUGGUCUCUUUUUCAAUUAAGGUUCUCACUAAGUUGCCCAAGCUGGCCCAUCCUCUUGCCUCAGCCUCCCAAGAAGCUUCAAGUAGAGAGGAUUACAGGUAUGUGUCACUGUGCCUAGCUAAAAUGUAAUCUUCUGGUACUUCUUUGAUGUAGUUAACAUUUUAAGGAUCAGAGACUCAGAGUUUGAACAUACUAGGUUCUAACUCAUAAUAAGAAUCUAUUUAAAGCUGUAUUCAUUUGAGAUUAGAAGUCUGAAAUUACCAGCCUUUUGUUUCAGUAUGCUAUUAUGGACAAAAGAUUAAAGAGUUGUUUAUAAAAUGAAAUAGACAUAAACCAAAGCUUUAAAGUCACUAGAAUGACUGAAACACUUACUUUCUUGGGAAAUUUGUGAGGUGGGGGAGUGUGACAGAUCAGAUCAUUACUGAACCAAUGAUCUUAUGUUAUCUAAGUCAGUUUCCAGAAAAACUGUCUUAAAUUAUAAGUGUAUAAGCAAAAUUGUUGAGUGUUUAAUGUCUAUAUAGCACUUUUUUUUUGUUUGUUUCUUUUUUUUUUUGGUACCGGGGAUUGAACUUGGGACCUUGGGCUUGCAAGGCAGGCGCCAGAACCACUGAGCUAAAUCCCUGGCCCUAUAUAGCAUUUUAAUUUAUGAGCUAGUUGAUUUUUGUGUUUGUAUGCAAUGUGUAUAAAUAAUGGAAUAUAAAUUUUCACUAUUCAGAUUUAUUCUAUUAGCUUUAUCAUCUGUAUUUUCCCCUUUAUGUUAAAUUGAACAUAUAUGGUUUUGGUGUUGUCCGUUACUUGGCAAAACAUUAUUAUUAUUUUUUAAAAUAGUAACAAAGUUUUAUUAGAGGAGAGAAAAGAAACAGGCUCUGCAGAGCUUGGGCCAAGUAAAAGCAGGAAAAGAAGUAUACCCUACAAUGUGAGGGUGGGCCAUCUAUGCAAGAGAGAACAAAAACUCAAUGUGAACUGUCCUUUUUGUAACAUCCUCUCUUCAAGCUGGCAUCAGGUCUAAGCCAUACUAUUGAAAACCUUCCCAAGUUCCUGUGAGAGGUCCACAUGCUGGGCUUGGGAACUAUUCUGUGCACGUGUCCUGGAAUUUUGUAAUUAACAGUUCACACCCGCUUUCCAUCCACCCUAAUCUCCAGUCUCAUUUCCUCCUGAAAGACACGUAUCCUGGUAAUUCUUUAUAGUGUGCUAAGGGAGUGGAGGUCUCUGGCUUCUAUACCUUCUUUAGGCUGGAAGAGGUUGUAGGCUGGGGAUUAUGUGCUCUCCAAUUACCUUGGGGUGUUAUAGCUCACUGGCUAAGUUGAAGAAGAAAACUUGUCAGAAGACAAUCAGAAAAGAGUGACUAUUCCCAUCCAAUUCGGUUUGCAAGCAGAAUCGUAGAAAGAAUUAAGUUCGUGAACCGAGGUAUCACUGUACUUUAAGGCAGUAAAGAGAAACACCUCUAAAAAUCCUGAGUUGGUUCCACCACCUGCCUUGCAAGCGCAAGGUCCCAAGUUCAAUCCCCGGUACCAAAAAAAAAAAAAAAAUCUGAAGAGUAAGGAUCAUUCUACCUUUGACUCAGUCUCUUGAGUUAAGCUUUACUUAACUGUUCUUUUGUUUUGCUUAGACCACCAGGCAUAUGUUUCUAAAUUACUUAUAUUUUGUGAGAAGAAACAAAGAAGGAAUCUAGAAAUAAACAUGGUGGUUGCUGACCCGAACAGUGCCCAGCCAUCUGACAAGAGAAGAUGGUGACCCUGACUAACAUAGCACCCUGAAAAAGAAACAGCGCAGACGAGACUUUGAGCACAAAAGGGAGUUAACUGAGGUAGCUGGCUACUUAGGCAGGCUACUAAGUUACCAAUGGCUAUUUUUUUCCCCCUAGAACAAGAAGGCUGAGCAUAAUAUCCUGGAGAACAGAAACAUGAGUUCCAAAAGGCAUUUUAGAGAGAAACAAACAAACAAAAAAUGUGCUACAAGGUCCUUACCUGCUCUCCUGGCUGGCUAAACCAAAUAUGUUACCGGAUUUUGGGGUGUUGGAGUCUCCUUCUGGAGGUGGUUUCUAGGUUCUUUCUGUCCCAAGCAAAGAAUUGUUAAGACAAGUGUAAACGGUAGCAAAAUUUUGUUGGUGGUGGGAAAAGAAACAAACUGCAGAGCAAGUUGGGUCCAAGGAAAAGUAGGAAAAGAAGUACCCCCUAUACUCAGAGGGUGGGCUAUCCAUGUAUGAGAGAAUACAGUGGCCAACAUAACUUUUAUGAUUGGAGAACCCCACCCCAAAUUAACUUUAUAAUGUGAUUUUUUUGGAUUAUUUGAACACCUUGAAUUUAUGGGAACUGGGAAGAUAGGGAACUUAACCAUUCACCAUAUUCGUCAUGUUCACUUUUGUAGUCUACGUACCAGCCACUAAUAUAUUUUAAACUUUUAAAAUAGAAAUUCAAAUACCGAGGUGCAUGAAAAAUGAAAUAAUGUUUUUAAUUCAAAUGGCACAAGCUAGUUCCACUGUUAACUUUUGUAUGCUGGUAGUUUUGACUUAGAGACUUGUUUUAUUCUAGUAGAUUAAUAGUAUAUUAUUACUGCUACUAUAUUUCCCCGAUAAUAAGACAGGAUCUUAUAUUAAUUUUGGUUCCAAAAGAUACAGUAGGGUUUGUUUUCAAAGGAUGUUUUAGUUUUGCAUGUACAGUGAUUACAUUUAUUCAUGUUCAACAAUCUAUACUUAUUCACGUAUUCAUAUAUACAAUCAUGAUGGCCCAUACCUGUAAUCCCAGCACUCAGGAGGCUGAGGCCGAAGGAUUGCUGAGAGUUUGAAGCCAGCCUAGGCUACAGAGUGAGUUCAAGGCCAGCCUAAAUUGCAUAGCAAGACCCUGUCUCAAAAAACCAAAAACCGAAAACAAAAACAAAAAAAAUCCUCUUUUUAAAAGAUGAAAAUAUGACAGAAUAAAUUUGAUAGCUACAUUAUACAAGGUAUAUUUGCAAAGCUAAAAUUUCAUUAUGAGAAAGUUGUAGCCAGGCAUGGUGGCCCACACCUGUAAUCCCAGCACUCGGGAGGCUGAGGCAGGAGGAUCACCAUGAGUUCCAAUGCCAGCCACGGCUACAUAGUGAGUUCAGUACAAAGUGAGACCUUGUCCCAAAAACAAAAAAAAAAAAAAAAAAGAAAUUCUCCUGUAAUGAAGGUUUUAUAUAACAAAAUGAUUUCUAAAUGCUCAUCUGAUUGUUUGUAAAUCUCAGUAUGAUAAUUUAGAAAAAGCUGGCAGAGAUAAUGCCAUGUUAACAGCCUUAAAGAUUGAAAUCAUUAAGAUCCCUGAAAAUAGCUACAACAAAAAUUAGUCAUGAGAAGCAUUUUUAUAAGAUGUAGUUGAUUAAAACUUUGCUGUAACCAUUGCUAAGAGCUUAGUGAAAUUUCUAAAUGUUAAUAAGAUCUUGCAUGUUAAAAAAAAUUUAGAGUCAACAUUACCAUUGGUUUCUAAAAAUUUUAAGGUAUAAUUUUAAAUACAUGAAAGGUAAAACUAAAAAUCAUGAAAUAGGAAUUAACACUUACGUGGCCAGGCUCCAAAAAAGAAUGGAUUAUAUUUUUGAAGGAUUCAGUUAAAUUGAAAUCCCCCCUCCAAAGUCGAUUAAACAUGUGCAUGAAAUCUGUACUUGAUUUAGUAGCUAAAAUAGAGUUUUCUUUAUCUACCUAUUUUAGAGCUAACUCUGAGUUGCAGAAGCAAGAGUUUUUUUGGAGCUGUGAAAUCCUCAUUGCAUAUUUGCAGCAUAUUCUAUUUCUUUGGCAUCUGAUUUACUCUUUCAUAGAAUUCUAUGACUUACCACCAAAUUCUGAAGCAUUUGCCAUAGAUAUUUUAUAUGAUCACUUAGUGGAAAUAAAUGAGUCCUAUAGGCCGUGUAAAUGUGAUUCUUAAAAAUUUUUUGUAGUCUUGGUACUGGUAGGUCCUUAAUGUUAAACAGAAAUUAUCAUGUACUUAACUAUGACAUAAGCAUCACACUGAUUGAAGUUUAGGGACAAGCUACAACUAUUUAAUUGACUUAAAGAGGUUUAAAUAGGGAGACCUCAUAAUUAGGAGAAUUUAGUUAAACAGGAGAUUCAUUAAGAGUUUCCUUCGGAAGCAAUUCAUGUAUUUAUAUAAUAACUUCUGAAGUUGAAAGUAGACUAAUUCAGUUCAAGUCAUUUGAAAGUAGAAAAAAGAAAAUUUGCUUUUAUUAGUUUAAGGAUAAAGAGAAUAUGAAGAUUGAAUUAGGUUUACAUUUCCAAUGUCUUAAUUUUCGACUUGAUUUUUUUUGUAACUAAAUUUUUAAAAAGCUUGCUUGUUUUGUAAAAUUUAUCCUGUUGUGUGUUCAUAGGAAUCCACAUAUCAAAUUCUUUUUUUUUUUCUUAAAUUCUUUUGUGGGUACAUUUUAGCUAUAUAAUAUGUUUACAUUUAUCAUUGGGUGCUUGUACCUAUACAUGAUGUAUCUUGGUUCUUAUAUUUUCCCCAUUAUCUGUGCGCCCUUCCCUAUUUACAUAGACUUCAUUUCCUUUUUUUUUUCUUUUAUCAUAAUUUUUCCUUUCCCUUCUUUGCUUUUCCCUUCCCCUCCUACCACCCCUACCCCUCUGGACCUUUUCUUCCUAUUUCAAAUUAUCAAUUAUUCAUUUUAAUAAUUUUAAACUUUAUUUACCCUUUCAGUUUCUCACACUAGAGAAACUAUUCAGUAUUUAUACGUGUGUCUUAUUUAUUUCACUUGAGUAUGUCCUCAAUAUGCAUCCAUUUAGCUAUAAAUGUUCCUAAUUUCUCGUUCUUUAUGGCUGAGUAGUACUCCAUUUUAUAAAAAAACCACAUCUUCUUUAUCUGGUUUCCACUUGAUGGGCACUUGGGCUGUUUCCAUGCUUUAGCUAUUACAAACUGUGCCACUAUAAACAUAGGUGUACAUAUAUCACUGUGGUAUGAUUCUUUUAAUUCUUUGGGGAAGAUACCCAGCAGGGGAAUAGCUGGGUCAAAUGGAACCUCUAGUCCUAGUUCUUUGAGCUAUCUCCACAAUGAUUUCCAUAGUGGUUGCACCAGUCUGCACUCCCACCAAUAAUGGAGAAGGGUUCCUUUCUCCCCACAACCCCACCAGCCUUUGUUAUUGGUUGAUUUCUUGAUAGCAGCCAUGCUUUCUGGGGUGAGGUGGAAUCUCAGUGCUGUUUUCAUCUGCAUCUCUCAAAUGACCAGUGAUGUUGAACAUUUUUUCAUAUGUUUAUUUUCUGCUUUUACUUCUUUGUCUGAGAAAUGUCUGUUCAUUUCACUUGCCCAUUUUUGAAUUGGGUCUUUGAAUUUGGGGGUUCUGAUUUUUUUCAGUUCUUUAUAUAUUCUAGGUAGUAGUCCUUUAUCUAAGGUACAGCUGCUACAAAAUUUUUCCCACAUUGUAGGUUGUCUCUUAGCUCUGUUGGUGGUUUCUCUUGCAAUGCAGAAGCUUUUUAAUAAGAUGAGAUCCCAGUUUUUGAUUCUUUGUGCUAGUUCCGGUGGUACUGAGGUUUUGUUCAUAAAGUCUUUCCCUAUGCCAAUGUCUUCAAGAAUUCUACCUAACUUACCUUCCUUCAAGUUUAGUGUUUUUGUCUUAAUAUUUAGAUCUUUAAUCUACUUCGAUCUUAGUUUAGUGCAUGGUGAUAGGUAUGGGUCAAGUUUUAGUCUUUGGCAGGUUGAAAUCCAGUUUUUCCAACACCAUUUAUUCAAUAGGCUUUCUUCCAAUGAGGGUGGUUGGCUCCUUUGUCAAAGAUGAGGAGGCUGAGUAUGUCUGGACUUGUUUCUGCAUCUUCUAAUCUAUUCCACUGAUCCUCAGGUCUUUUUCUUUGCCAGUACCAUGCUGUUUUUAUCACAGUAGCUUUGUAGUAUAGUUUCAAGUUGGGGAUUGUGAUACCCCUUGCCAUGACUCUGUUGCCCAGAAUUGCUUUUGCUAUUCUAGGUCUCUUCUGGUUCCAAAUGAAUUUUUGGAUUGUUUUCUCUAGUUCUGUGAAGUAUAUUGUUGGAAUUUCAAUCUGCAUUGCAUUAAAUCUACAUAGUAGUUUUGGAAAUAUGGCCAUUUUCACUAUAUUGGUUCUUCCUACCCAGUAACAAGGGAGGUCUUUCCAUUUUUCUAUAUCCUCCUCGAUCUCCUUUUUCAGAGUGCUGUAGUUUUCAGUGUAGAGGCCUUUUGCUUCCUUGUUAGAUUGAUUCCUAGAUAUUUCAUUUUUUGGGAUGCUUUUGUAAAAGGGAUUGUUGUCCUAAUUCUCUCUCAGCACAUAUCAAAUUCUUGGUUCAAAUAAAGCAAUUCUUUUGUGUGUUUUUAAAAUAGUGUUUAUUGUAAUACUAUUUUUAAAAAGACUUACUUAUCUUUGUUUUUCCCUAGACUUUAGCAUGUCUCCUUCCAUACAGAAGACCAUGAGUUGUUAUAUUUUGAAUGAAUUAAUCUAAGGUGAAAUAUAUCCAACUAAUUUUCUGUUCUUUGUCAGUUGAAUUGAUUUAAAAGAAACAAAGCAAAACUAGAAAAAUGGCUGAGGCAGAAAGAUCACAAAUUCAAGCCCAGCCUAGAUAAGUUAGUAUUUUAAUGAGACUGUUUCUCAAAAUUUAAAAAGGGCAUGUGUGAAGGCCUUGGGUUCAAUCUACAGGACCACCAGCUCACACACACAAGCUAGAAAAAGAAUAAACUAACACACAUUUAAAAUUGUCUUUCUUACAGAAAUAAUCAC